This is a small nuclear RNA of Photinus pyralis (common eastern firefly), 143 nucleotides long. RefSeq annotates it as U4 spliceosomal RNA. NCBI's taxonomy places the organism in Eukaryota, Metazoa, Arthropoda, Insecta, Coleoptera, Lampyridae. The record is from RefSeq and is a predicted model, not a curated record. The transcript has a single exon.
UGCUUUGCGCAGUGGCAAUAUUGUAACCGAUGAAGUAUAACUGAGGUGCAAUUAUUGCUAGUUGGAAACUUUAUUUCUUCAUGAAUUUUCAAACAAUAAUUGCAUAUUUGCUAUUCUCCUUUUUAAAAACCCCAGACAACAAA